RNAcentral lists this transfer RNA (77 nucleotides) under Patescibacteria group bacterium. RNAcentral's name for it is "tRNA-Pro". It matches the Rfam family "tRNA". From Rfam's summary of the family: Transfer RNA (tRNA) molecules are approximately 80 nucleotides in length. Their secondary structure includes four short double-helical elements and three loops (D, anti-codon, and T loops). Further hydrogen bonds mediate the characteristic L-shaped molecular structure. tRNAs have two regions of fundamental functional importance: the anti-codon, which is responsible for specific mRNA codon recognition, and the 3' end, to which the tRNAs corresponding amino acid is attached (by aminoacyl-tRNA synthetases). tRNAs cope with the degeneracy of the genetic code in two manners: having more than one tRNA (with a specific anti-codon) for a particular amino acid; and 'wobble' base-pairing, i.e. permitting non-standard base-pairing at the 3rd anti-codon position. The record is from RNAcentral.
CGGGGUGUAGCUCAGUUGGCUAGAGCGCAGGGCUGGGGGUCCUGAGGCCGGAGGUUCGAGCCCUCUCACCCCGACCA